Molecule: ribosomal RNA, 497 nt
Filed under: uncultured bacterium
Lineage: Bacteria
Description: partial 16S ribosomal RNA
Rfam family: Bacterial small subunit ribosomal RNA
Source: RNAcentral
GAUGAACGCUGGCGGCGUGCCUAAUACAUGCAAGUCGAGCGAACGGACGAGAAGCUUGCUUCUCUGAUGUUAGCGGCGGACGGGUGAGUAACACGUGGAUAACCUACCUAUAAGACUGGGAUAACUUCGGGAAACCGGAGCUAAUACCGGAUGAUAUUUUGAACCGCAUGGGUCAAAAGUGAAAGACGGUCUUGCUGUCACUUAUAGAUUGAUCCGCGCUGCAUUAGCUAGUUGGUAAGGUAACGGCUUACCAAGGCAACGAUGCAUAGCCGACCUGAGAGGGUCAUCGGCCACACUGGAACUGAGACACGGUCCAGACUCCUACGGGAGGCAGCAGUAGGGACUCUUCCGCAAUGGGCGAAAGCCUGACGGAGCAACGCCGCGUGAGUGAUGAAGGUCUUCGGAUCGUAAAACUCUGUUAUUAGGGAAGAACAUAUGUGUAAGUAACUGUGCACAUCUUGACGGUACCUAAUCAGAAAGCCACGGCUAACUACGUG